RNAcentral lists this non-coding RNA (30 nucleotides) under Mus musculus (house mouse). The record is from RNAcentral. Lineage: Eukaryota; Metazoa; Chordata; Mammalia; Rodentia; Muridae.
UGAUAAUUCCGACAUCACUGUAGGGUGGAU